This 468-nucleotide ribosomal RNA is filed under the name uncultured bacterium. RNAcentral's name for it is "partial 16S ribosomal RNA". It matches the Rfam family "Bacterial small subunit ribosomal RNA", at positions 28 to 507 of the family's 1533-position model. The record is from RNAcentral.
GACGAACGCUGGCGGCGUGCUUAACACAUGCAAGUCGAACGGAAAGGCCCUGCUUUUGUGGGGUGCUCGAGUGGCGAACGGGUGAGUAACACGUGAGUAACCUGCCCUUGACUUUGGGAUAACUUCAGGAAACUGGGGCUAAUACCGGAUAGGAGCUCCUGCUGCAUGGUGGGGGUUGGAAAGUUUCGGCGGUUGGGGAUGGACUCGCGGCUUAUCAGCUUGUUGGUGGGGUAGUGGCUUACCAAGGCUUUGACGGGUAGCCGGCCUGAGAGGGUGACCGGCGAAAUUGGGACUGAGAGACGGCCCAGAAUCCAACGGGAGGCAGCAGUGGGGAAUAUUGCAAAAUGGGCGGAAGCCUGAUGCAGCAACGCCGCGUGCGGGAUGACGGCCUUCGGGUUGUAAACCGCUUUCGCCUGUGACGAAGCGUGAGUGACGGUAAUGGGUAAAGAAGCACCGGCUAACUACGUG